This 22-nucleotide non-coding RNA is filed under the name Rattus norvegicus (Norway rat). The record is from RNAcentral. Lineage: Eukaryota; Metazoa; Chordata; Mammalia; Rodentia; Muridae.
AAGAAGAAGUCUCACGUGCGGA